UGUUAUUUUCCUUAAAUAAAUAAAAAUAUUUGUACAAUUUAUGGUUGCAUUUCAUUUUCUGUAAUACAAUUGUAUACAUAAAUACAGUCUGUAAUGACCUAUUUUUAAAUUUUAAUUGUUACUGGCUUAAACGGGUGAGUUUACUAUGCGUUUUGAAUGAUUUCCUCAUGUGUUAUUAUUAUUAAAAAAGGAAGGCAUAUUAAAAAUGAAAGAGCAAUCCAUUCUAUCCAAUGUUGGUCAAUAAGAUUUGAAAUAUUUCUUUAGCUAGUUUUGGCCAGAAAACUUUUAAAUGAGGGAUCUGAAGGUAUCUAGAGAGAAUGACUAGAUCCGUGGCGGAUCAGCUGCUUUGUAAACGGGUCCUGAACGGGUCUGCCCCGGAUCUGGUCCGGAUCCGCCAUCCUUAUCUGUUCUGGAUCCGGAGUCAAUUUGCUAUCUGGGAAGGAGCGUAACGUUGAAGGCGGCAUUUGAACCUGCAUCGAACACGGAGAUCCAUGUCGGAAGAUCGCGGUGAUUUCAUCGACCAAAAUAUCAAUAAUCUGGUGAGAUUACAGAGUUUCUUCAAAGUCAUGCACAGUUUUAACAUCUAUCAGUGAUGUUGAUGUAUACUAACGUUAAACGCCACGGACUUACACCACAUGAAGUAAGAUGAGCUGUUAUAAUUAUAGCUGUUUGGGCUACCAGACAUGCUGGUGUGACUUUUAUGUGUGUUUUAGCCUAUCAAUGAGGUAAAUCCAGAUUAUCAUUGAGUUGUAGAUAAAUGUUUACAUUUUUUUUAUAUAUAUUUUUUCAUUACAGAUGCAGAUGCAGGGUAACGUUACCAUCCAUUAUCACACUGCUGUUCAAGAUAAUAUCCCAGGAUGUAUGUCUCAGAAACAGACGCUUUGUGGGUAUAAACCCAGAAAAAGGGACAAAGGCUGCAAAGGGGAAAAAAGAUGAACUGUCAAUUCACACGUCACCAGCCUCUUGCGCAAGAAAAUGGACUUUCAGUGGGAUUUCAUUUGAAAAUGUUGAGUAGGAUGUAUACAUUACACAUAUGUUCAAACAGCAAUGACUAAGGGGACUGGGGAAAUUCAUUCUAAUGUUCAUUCUCAUCUGCCUUUCAAAGUGAGAAUGCUGAACUUCUCUUCUGUGCUCUUUUGCCAUUCUUUUUUUUGUUCUUUCAAUGAAUUGUGCUCAUCACACUUUCUAUUAUUUUAUGUUAUUCUGUCCGUUUUAAGCUCUGUUUCUAAAAUUAGCUUUUGUUAGGUCAAGCCAUGUGAUGUAAUUUUGGAUUGAAAUUUGAAAUUAUGGAAAUCCUAUCUCUCCCUCUCUCUCUCUCUCUCUCUCUCUCUCUCUCUCUUUCUCUGUCAUAUACAGACCCAAGACUUUGCAAAGGAUCCUCAUUGUAUGCUUUGAGUAAAUGGUUUGUGGUCUAAGCAGUGACAGUGUUUUUAUUGUUUAUUGCUCUUUAAUGAUGAAGAGUUCCAUUAAGUGUUAACUAUUGGUUUGAAUGUAUUCAUACAUGUUGAAUUUUAGUGGUUUAGGUAACACUGCAUAUGAAGUUCAGUAUUUUGUUAUAAUGAAAAAUGUAUUUGGGUUUAAAAAUGUAUUUGUUACUUUUUAAACCAUGAACAUGAGAAAACGAAAUUUGUUUGUGAUUAAUCUGAGCCUAUGUGUAACAUUUUUAUGUGACCAGGAGUCACAGUGUAUAUCCUUUGAGUCUUUUUAAAUGAAUUUUAGCAGUUCAAGGAACAUUAAAUGUUGAGGUUUUGGGCCCUAUCUUGCACCAACGCAGCGCAAAGCCAAACGCAAGUGUCUUUGCUAGUUUAAGACAGACGCAGUUGUUAUUUUCCGUCCAGUGACCACAGAUGUCGGCAAUGAACAUGAUAUACAGUAUAUUUUUGUGAUUGGUCUGAUCCAUGUGUGCCUACAUUUGUAAGUAUUUACCUUUCAGUGUUUGUAUUACAAUAAAAAAAAGUUAAUUUCAA
Long non-coding RNA from Triplophysa dalaica, 1967 nucleotides. RefSeq lists it as uncharacterized. The record is from RefSeq and is a predicted model, not a curated record. The transcript is spliced from 2 exons. NCBI's taxonomy places the organism in Eukaryota, Metazoa, Chordata, Actinopteri, Cypriniformes, Nemacheilidae.